Long non-coding RNA from Xenia sp. Carnegie-2017, 802 nucleotides. RefSeq lists it as uncharacterized. The record is from RefSeq and is a predicted model, not a curated record. NCBI's taxonomy places the organism in Eukaryota, Metazoa, Cnidaria, Anthozoa, Malacalcyonacea, Xeniidae. The transcript has 4 exons.
UUUUUAAGACUAAGUGCAUUUCCACGAAAUAAGAACUUUUUUUCCAAAGGACAAACCCUCAUUGCUUUACAUUUUGCUGCUUUAUCGACGAUACAUGUUUACACAGAACUAAAACUCCUUUACAAAAUGCAGCAGGGAGUUUUGGACAUGACAAAUUUGGAUCGUGUGAACAGGCCUUGAGACUACGUCAAAAAGCCAACAUUGACAGCCAACUAUGAGUACUAGGAAACAGCAGGUUUGCCUGGUGACCACGGCCUUGAACGAACCGUAAGGUUACAGUCGACGGAAUAAAAGCAAAAAUCAAAAUGGUGGAGGAACAGAGUAAAUAUGCAAAAUUAACGUGGACAGACAUAAAGAACGUUGCGCAGACAAAUCACCGCGUGUUGUUUUUAAUGGAGAAGGGGAACCGAACCUCAUGCGGGCGUAGCGUCAAAUAAAGUUCAACUGCUGAUAAACAUCGGCGAUUCCUGGCAAUACGAUAUGACGAUUAUGUCACGCUCAUGUCGUAAAUAAGGAGUUUUAGACGUAUUUGAAGCGAGCGGCGCGGAGAAUUCAUAUCCAAAUAAAUCAGAUCGGCUCUCUUUUUCUUAUAUUCAAAUUUGAGAACGCCCAAAAGCUAUUCAGUUGGUGCAAUUAUAUACUUUGGGAAUGAGACAAAUAAUAGGGUAGCAUUUUGUAAUAGUAGUAAUUUAGAUUUAAAAUUAAACUGCAAUAAUUUAUUUUGACUAACUCAAAUCAUGUAAAUAUUUCUUCGUGCGUGAAAACUAAUCAAUAACAUAAAAAAAAGCUUGUUCUUAUGUAA